GAUGAACGCUGGCGGCGUGCUUAACACAUGCAAGUCGAACGGAAAGGCUCCUGCUUGCAGGGGUACUCGAGUGGCGAACGGGUGAGUAACACGUGGGUGAUCUGCCCUGCACUUCGGGAUAAGCCUGGGAAACUGGGUCUAAUACCGGAUAGGACGAUGGUUUGGAUGCCAUUGUGGAAAGUUUUUCGGUGUGGGAUGAGCUCGCGGCCUAUCAGCUUGUUGGUGGGGUAAUGGCCUACCAAGGCGUCGACGGGUAGCCGGCCUGAGAGGGUGUACGGCCACAUUGGGACUGAGAUACGGCUCAGACUCCUACGGGAGGCAGCAGUGGGGAAUAUUGCACAAUGGGCGCAAGCCUGAUGCAGCGACGCCGCGUGGGGGAUGACGGCCUUCGGGUUGUAAACUCCUUUCGCUAGGGACGAAGCGUUUUGUGACGGUACCUGGAGAAGAAGCACCGGCUAACUACGUG
Molecule: ribosomal RNA, 466 nt
Filed under: uncultured bacterium
Lineage: Bacteria
Description: partial 16S ribosomal RNA
Rfam family: Bacterial small subunit ribosomal RNA
Source: RNAcentral